UUGGGAGGACCAUGCGCCAAAUUAAGCAAUUGAGGAAAAGGACUGAAAGAUGUGAUGGUAUGGCCCCUGCUGACAUCUAGGCCAGAUGUCGUUCCACUUCUUCUCCCCAAAAUGGCUGAAAUGCAGUUCACACCGCAUAUGCUUCUGGACAAAAUCACAUGGCCAAUUGAGGACAAUGAGACUUUGACAUUGAGUCCACAUGCCACAUCACUGGCUUUCUAAGAAUGUUCAUUGAAAUAGCUUCAUCGGGUACACUGGCUCAGCUGCUGACUUUCUGGGUUGGCUAGGAGAAGCUUCCCCCUGUACUGAAAGUGGAGAUUUCUGGUGGAACCCUUCCUACGGCCGCCAAAUGCUUUGAAACACUAAAGCUGCCAGCUCAUUUCAAAACC
Molecule: long non-coding RNA, 389 nt
Organism: Myripristis murdjan (pinecone soldierfish)
Lineage: Eukaryota; Metazoa; Chordata; Actinopteri; Holocentriformes; Holocentridae
Exons: 3
Source: RefSeq, a predicted model, not a curated record